RNAcentral lists this long non-coding RNA (1221 nucleotides) under Sus scrofa (pig). Its description in RNAcentral is "lncRNA (ENSSSCG00055024523.1)". Lineage: Eukaryota; Metazoa; Chordata; Mammalia; Artiodactyla; Suidae. The record is from RNAcentral.
UGGCUAGGACUUCCAAAACUAUGUUGAAUAACAGUGGCGAGAGCGGACAUCCUUGUCUUGUUCCUGAUCUCAGUGGGAAUUCUUUCAGCUUUUCACCAUUGAGAAUGAUGUUCACUGUGGGAUUGUCAUAUAUGGCCUUUAUCAUGCUGAGGUAGGUUCCCGCUGUGCCCACUUUCUGAAGGGUUUUUUUUAUCAGAAAUGGGUGUUGGAUUUUGUCAAAGGCUUAUUCCGAGUCUAUUGAGAGGAUCAUAUGGUUUUUAUUCUUCAGUUUGUUAAUGUGGUAUAUCACACCAAUGGAUUUGUGGAUACCGAAGAACCCUUGCAUCCCUGGGAUAAAUCCCACUUGAUCAUGAUGUACAAUCCUUUGAAUGUAUUGUUGGGUGCAGUUUGCUAGUAUUUUGUUGAGGAUUUUUGCAUCGAUGUUCAUCAGUGAAAUUGGCCUGUAGUUUUCUUUUUUUGUGGUAUCUUUGUCUGGUUUUGGUACCACGGUGAUGGUGGCCUCAUGGGAUGAGUUUGGGGGUAUCCCUUCCUCUGAAACUUUUUGAAAUAGUUUCAGAAGUAUAGGUGUUAGCUCUUCUCUAAAUGUUUGAUAGAAUUCGCCUGUGAACCCAUCUUAACUUUUAUUUGUUAGAAGUUUUUUAAUCACAGUUUCGAUUUCAGUUCUUGUGAUUGGUCUAUUCAUCUUUUGUAUUUCAUCUUGGUUUGGUGUUGGAAGAUUGUACUUUUCUAAGAAUUUGUCCAUUUCUUCUAGGUUUUCCAUUUUAUUGGCAUAUAGGUGCAUAUAGUAGUCUCUUAUGAUCCUUGGUAUUUCUGUGAUGUCCAUUGUUACUUCUCCUUUUUCAUUUCUUAUUUUAUUGAUUUGAGACUUCUGUCUUUUUUUCCUGAUAAGUCUGGCUAAGGGUUUAUCAAUGUUGUUGAUCUUUUCAAAGAACCAGCUUUUUGUUUCAUUGAUCUUUUCUAUGGGUUUCUUUGCUUCUAUUUCAUUGGUUUCUGCUCUGAUCUUUGUGAUUUCUUUCCUUCUACUAACUUUAGGUCUUGUCUGUUCUACUCUCUCGAGCUGCUUUAGAUGUAAAGUUACCUUGUUUAUUUGAGCUUUUUCUUGUUUCCUGAGAUGGACUUGUAUUGCUAUAAACUUUCCUCUUAGAACGGCUUUUGCUGCAUCUCAUAGGUUUUGGAGUGUUGUAUCUUUGUUGUCAUUUGCUUUUAGGUAUUUUUUAAUUU